Molecule: long non-coding RNA, 474 nt
Organism: Platichthys flesus (European flounder)
Lineage: Eukaryota; Metazoa; Chordata; Actinopteri; Pleuronectiformes; Pleuronectidae
Exons: 2
Source: RefSeq, a predicted model, not a curated record
GUCGCGGGACGGGCUGCUGCUGAGACAGAAACUUAAAAUGGAUAAUAAGAGUAAAAAACUCCCGGGUGGCGCUGAGAAGCAUCGGAAAAAAAGCUGAAGUCUCUGGAGGUGGAGGCUGCUAAAUGUGCCAAACUGACGGACCUAUUUGGUGCCGGGUUCACCAGCCCAGCAGUAGCAGGUGCGCCGGGAGACGAGCGAGGAGGACUCACAAUGAUGAGCGAGUGGAGGCAGACAUGGUUGACCACUUGACAUGUGAGAGCCUGAGGAGUUGUUUUCCAGACACAGGUAGAGCUGGCAGGGGCGUCACCCUGGGCCUGCCCUUUUGGGCUGGGCUUCAGCUGCAGAUCUAAAGGCUGCUUCCAGGGGCAUCCAAACACUGUUAACACCACUGACGCGUAACAUAUUUUACACAUCCCACUACGUAGUUUGAGCUAUCUUGAUUUGGAGUUAAAUAAAUUUACUUUUGGCUUGAGA